Non-coding RNA from Triticum urartu, 1001 nucleotides. The record is from RefSeq and is a predicted model, not a curated record. NCBI's taxonomy places the organism in Eukaryota, Viridiplantae, Streptophyta, Magnoliopsida, Poales, Poaceae.
UGUUAUAAUUUCUGUUGUAACAAGUUGAAGUUAUUAAAAAAUAAUAAUUGAAGUUUCUUCUAACAGCACCAACUUCAGUUCAGUUGUUAGAAAAUAUCUUCAGUUCAAGAUUUAGGAACAAUCAAUUGGCUUAACUGUCAGUCUGAAACCAACCAUUCUUUUGUUGCAGUUCAGUUAACUCAAGCUAUUACAAUUCACUCUGUCGCGGCGUCUCUAGGGGCAGCGGAAGAACCGUGGGUGUGAUCCGUGAGCACAGACGCGCAGAUCUGUGGGGAAGCAACAUGCAGACAUGGAUGGAAGAUGGGAGACCUAGCUCUAUCUGCCUGAGCUGUCCACCGGCAAGAUGAACCCACAAGCGCCAUGGUGGACAAAGAGUUCAGUGCGGCGAGACGGCCGGUGUGUGCGCUGGGGCACUGGCGAGACUCCCUGACAGGCAUAUUCUGGUGACUACUUGUGUUCUCGUGAAAUCCAUCCUCUGAUUACAUUGUUUCGGCAUGUUUAGCUGGAAGGAACCACUACCAUGUCCACCCAAAAAAGGGAAGCCAACAUCAGGGAGUUCUAUGGUAACUAAACAAACAUCCUGCAGAAUGUAGAAAAACAGGACAAAAAAGCAUUUGUGGUUUGGAUAUGUGAUACUGAAAAAUUCCCACUGUUUAUCUACUACAACUGUGAUAUUUUCUUCCCUCGUGUAACUGGAACAGGGGACCAGCAACUCCGACGACAGGAGGUAGAGGGUUAUUUGCUCGAAGAAGUACAAGAAGAGAGCAAGAGGCCGGCCUCCAAGAUCAAUGCUGAAAUAGAUGAAGAAUGCUUGCCCAACUGCAGCCAUGACAUGUGCAUCAAGUGCUACAGUCAAUGCCACCGUCCCUGUUAUUGCCUCCAGGGUUGGUCCGCCCCUCUUCCCAUAUGUCGACGCCGGUCAGUGUGCUCCUGGUUUCUACAGAAGUAGAGGCGACCAGGAGGGCACGUAUGGGUGUGUACAUGGAAAGGACCACUAUGAU